GAUUAUGAAAGAAAGAAAUGAAAUCUAAACUACAGAAUAUCCUCAGCCUCACAUUUACCUGAAGUAUGACUGAUCAAAUUCUGAGA
This is a small nucleolar RNA of Mesoplodon densirostris (Blainville's beaked whale), 86 nucleotides long. RefSeq annotates it as small nucleolar RNA U2-19. The transcript has a single exon. The record is from RefSeq and is a predicted model, not a curated record. NCBI's taxonomy places the organism in Eukaryota, Metazoa, Chordata, Mammalia, Artiodactyla, Ziphiidae.